Non-coding RNA from Peromyscus maniculatus bairdii (prairie deer mouse), 635 nucleotides. The record is from RefSeq and is a predicted model, not a curated record. NCBI's taxonomy places the organism in Eukaryota, Metazoa, Chordata, Mammalia, Rodentia, Cricetidae.
AAGCUGAAAAGAAGUUUCAAAACCACAGUCUCCCCAGCAGACUUGUGGGUGCUUGUUGAAUACAAUCAUCCCUUCCUGUCCAGUCUGUCAUGACAGGGGCCCUUUAAGGCUUAGCUCAUGCUGUCAGAGAAAUGCUGCAGGCAAGCAGAAAACCAAGGCCAGACAGAAAAUCUCUGAACAGAAAUCUGCAUACAGGAUAACUUCAAAGCUGCUAGCUAAGAUGAUCCAUCCUCACAGACUGCUAGCCAGGACUUCAGUUAAGCCCUGCACUUUUCCAUCACAGAGAAACUGGACAACCAAUGAUACAACUAGCUCUCCCAAGACAUGACCAUUGUCCCAAUUUUCUCUGGGUCACCUGAAGAUGCCAUCACCCCCAGACAACAAGAAGCAAUUUUAAGAACAUGUCACUCACAUUCCUGAGAGGAGCCGGCAGUCUACAGAAAAGCUCAUUGCAUGCUCUCAUUUCCCAUGAUCCGCUGAAGCUCACUCAUGUCCCGGGUGAGCAGCGGGAUUGGCUGUAUUGUAUCUGCCUCUACUGUUCUGUCUAUCUGUGUCUCUCCUUGGAAGUCCCACCCAUUUUUCAAGUUCAGAUCUACCAUUGCAUCUAUCACCUGUACCACACAUGCAAUGGCUUG